Pongo abelii (Sumatran orangutan) is the source of this 148-nucleotide unclassified non-coding RNA. It matches the Rfam family "Metazoan signal recognition particle RNA". From Rfam's summary of the family: The signal recognition particle (SRP) is a universally conserved ribonucleoprotein. It is involved in the co-translational targeting of proteins to membranes. The eukaryotic SRP consists of a 300-nucleotide 7S RNA and six proteins: SRPs 72, 68, 54, 19, 14, and 9. Lineage: Eukaryota; Metazoa; Chordata; Mammalia; Primates; Hominidae. The record is from Ensembl.
GCCGGACAUGGUGGUGCAUGCCUGUAAUCCUAGCUACUCAGGAGGCUGAGAUGGGAGGAUCACCUGAGCCCAGGAGGUCAAGGCUGCGGUGAGCUGUGAUCAGGCCGCUGUACUCCAGCCUGGGCAACAGAGUGAGACUCUGUCUCAA